Molecule: ribosomal RNA, 344 nt
Filed under: Ascomycota sp. MUT 4926
Lineage: Eukaryota; Fungi; Ascomycota
Description: SSU rRNA
Rfam family: Eukaryotic small subunit ribosomal RNA
Source: RNAcentral
AUAGCGUAUAUUAAAGUUGUUGCAGUUAAAAAGCUCGUAGUUGAAAUUUGGGCCUGGCUGACCGGUCCGCCUCACCGCGUGUACUGGCUCGGCCGGGCCUUUCCUUCUGGGGAAGCUCAUGGUCUUUAUUGACUGUGUGGGGAACCAGGACUUUUACUUUGAAAAAAUUAGAGUGUUCAAAGCAGGCCUUUGCUCGAAUACAUUAGCAUGGAAUAAUGGAAUAGGACGGCUUUCCUAUUUUGUUGGUUUCUAGGAGAGCCGUAAUGAUUAAUAGGGACAGUCGGGGGCAUCAGUAUUCAAUUGUCAGAGGUGAAAUUCUUGGAUUAAUUGAAGACUAACUACUG